Long non-coding RNA from Lycium barbarum (goji berry), 2940 nucleotides. RefSeq lists it as uncharacterized. The transcript has 3 exons. Lineage: Eukaryota; Viridiplantae; Streptophyta; Magnoliopsida; Solanales; Solanaceae. The record is from RefSeq and is a predicted model, not a curated record.
CAGGUGUCAAAACUUAGUAUACAGAAAUAAAAUAUUCUACAAACUAAAAAGUGUCUCAGCUUUCUCAAAACAUAAGUGGUCGCAGUUCUACCCUAGUCUCUACGCAUCAGACCCAUUGUGUACUAUGCCCUAGCUUUGCCGAUCGUUGCCCAAGAGAGCGCCGUGAAGGCCUUCAAGCCCAACAACUACAAUUCCCUGCUAAUCUUCAAACUUCCGUUGUUUCUCAAAACACAAAUGCAUUUUUCACUUAGCUUAUUGUUAUUCCCUUUUUUCAAUUUGGUCUUGUUUUAUAAGUAUAUUAUAGCAUACCCAUUUGGAGUUUGAUGUAUUAGAUGGGUAAGCUAAGAAUCCCGGAGUUUGUCGUUGGUGAUAAGCCAUAUCUUAGUAGAAAUUAAAAAAAUACGUUUUUAUUAUAAACUUUCAGAAUUACGGUAUUUGGAUUCGGUGUUCGGGAGUAAAAUUUUGAUAAUUCGGUAUUCGAUACGGUAUUCAGAGUAAAAUUUUAGAUCUACGGUAUUUGGGUUCGGAUUCGGUACGAGAUAUUAAAGUAGCUAUAACAAUAGGACUGAAGUGAUUUUGCAGACAAUUUUUUAGAUUUAUGAUUCUUACUUUGAUAUAAGGAUCAAUGCUCGAUCUGCUGUAAUCUUACUCAGAUUACAAGUAUGAAUAGUGAAAAUCCUUCAGAUUCUUGCUCUCCAAGUUCUUGUUGAUUGAACUAAAACUAUACGAUCCAGCUUAAGUGAUUUUGCAAGCAAUGGUGUUGGGUAGCUCUCAUUAUUUCCUUUACAGAUGUGGCUAACAUGAUAUAGGAUAUGAGAUGCAUUUUGUAACUUAAUUCACAAUUCACAUGUGGUUACUAGUUCUCUUUUGAAUACAUAGCUAAUUUAGCAUAUUACUAUUUUUCUUUUUUGCUUAUAUUACUGUUUUGCUUUUUUGCUUUAGUGUGGAAGAUAUUAUGGAACUCUAGUCACAUUGAUAAGCUGUCAGUUUACUUAUAUUCUAGCUCAAGGAAUCCUUGAGCCGAGGGUCUCUCGGAAAUAGCCUCCCUACCUCUCAAUGUAGGGGUAAGGUCCGUGUAGAAUCUACCCUUUCCAGAUCCUACUUGUGGGAUUACAUUGGGUAUGUGUUGUUGUUGUUGUUGUUGGUUUUUACCGAAUAUUGAAUUAUUUAUUCUUUUUGAUCCGUUAAAUAUGGAUCUCCAGACAUAUGUAUCAUUUUUCUUUUGAAAACCAUUUUCUGAGAAACGGGUUUCCUGUGAUAUCCUCAUUACUAAAAUGGGGUGUCUUGAAGUUAUAAUUCUUGGAGAUCGAAAGCAUAUUCUUAUGUACAAAUUCUUUGUAUUCUAGCUUUUAACAUGUUGGAUAUUUUAUUUCUCAACUUUUGAGUCUUUUUUGUGAUUUACCAAUAGGUGAUGUGGUUAUGUAAGUCUAUACUUUGUUUCUUCCUUUCCUGUUUGCUAUAUCCUUUUCUAGAUAAAAUAAAAUCUGUUUUUAGGCAUCUUCCCCCUAAAGUGAUUUGCUUCUACUGGUUGUCUCUCUAUGAAGCUUGUCUUACUCAAGACAACGAAUGAAGAGAAAAAUCCAGAUUGUAAAUAGAUACUUCAUGUGCGAAAGAGACUCUGAAAGUGUUAGACAUCUUCUAUUACACUGCCCAGUGGCUGCUAACAUUUGGAACAUGUUUUUGUCUAUUUUUGGACUAGUUUGGGUUAUGCCUAGCAGCAUUAAAGAAGCCUAUGAAAACUGGUGCUCAUGGAAAGUAGGUAAAUCCAUCAAAAAGUCCUGGUUAAUGGUACCUGCUACAAUUUUUUGGUGCAUUUGAAAUGAAAGGAACCGUAGGUGUUUUGAUGGGAUUUCUACUUCUAACAAUGCUCUUAAAGCUAAAUACUUAAUGAAUUUAUAAUUUUAUUUGGCUGAGCAGUGCAGGCUCUUGUAGCUAGUUGUGAUCAGUUUUUGAUGGGGUUUGCUCCUUAGUUGUAGAUGUAGAUUAAGCUAACUUUUGUAUUUGAGAAAACUCCUGACGUUCCCCUUUGUAAUUGCUGCAUCUUCAAUGAUGCCUUUUAAUGAAACUCUUCUUGCUUAAUCAACAAACAAGAAAAGAAAAAUUGUUUUGGAAUAUUUGUUGCUUUUUCUUGGGACCAAUAUCUUUACUAUUAUUAGUUGCUCUCUUAAAUGGUAAAUCCUUCGCAAAAGAAACGAAAAAGAACUGAUGAGGUGAAGUAUAUCUUUAUGAAUUAGUAUAUUCAUUGUUACACAUUCUGAUGGUGUGAUUUCUUUUAUUACUACAUUGUCACAUUUUCUCUUAUUGCUUUUUACUUUUGGCGCUUUAUAGGUUCAAUAUGGAACCAUCAAAGACUGAAAAUGAGGUGGGAUCGACUAUGAAGACUACUACCAGAUAUGCAUUCGUCGUGCCAGGUGCUAUAGGUGCUAUAGGAAAGGGACGAGGACGAGGAGAGCUUAGAUCAUUUGGUUGAGAAAGAGAACAUGCCAUGUAGGAUAAAUUUGAGGGUGUUGAAUUGAAUGAUCAUCCUGAUCGUAUCUUGGGAAGGAUGAAAGAGUUAUGGAAUAAAUGGAGAGGAUACUUGCAUUUUGUGUCCUAGCCAGCGGGAGCUUUCUUUGAAGAAUUUUCUGGUUAUCUCAAAUUUGGUAGGUCAACUUUUCCAUUCUCAUCAUUCUCUUAGUUCAUAAUAUUUGACCGAGGGAGAGAUACCAAUAUUUCCAAAACAUUUUAAACUUCUAACACAGCAGGACAUAAAAUCUGCUAGCUUUCUUCUUCUCAGUUUUUUUUUACCCUCUCUUUGUUCAUUAGGUACCUCUUAUUGAAUGUAUACAGUCAGUCAAAUUUGAUGUACUACUUCUACUACUACUUCAUAAAUUGUACAUCCUGUUGCCUUUUACGUUUUAAAGGUAUUAUGUAAUUGAAUGAUUAGAUUUUGACAUGCCA